GCCCUUGUAGUUCAAUGGAUAGAACGGAAGUUUCCUAAACUUCAAAUCAGGGUUCGAUUCCCUGCGAGGGUACAA
RNAcentral lists this transfer RNA (75 nucleotides) under Bacteroidetes oral taxon 274 str. F0058. Its description in RNAcentral is "tRNA-Arg". It matches the Rfam family "tRNA". Rfam says of the family: Transfer RNA (tRNA) molecules are approximately 80 nucleotides in length. The record is from RNAcentral. Lineage: Bacteria; Pseudomonadati; Bacteroidota.